RNAcentral lists this long non-coding RNA (1260 nucleotides) under Homo sapiens (human). RNAcentral describes it as "HSALNT0225619". The record is from RNAcentral. Lineage: Eukaryota; Metazoa; Chordata; Mammalia; Primates; Hominidae.
GGGCGGCUGACUGGCCACCUGAGGAACCUCAGGUUCACUCAAACCACAAGAAAACAGAUACCAGUUUUGGGAGUAGGAGACUCCCCUUCGGAAACGAGGAAGAGAGCCUCUCUGGUUCAGGCCCACUGGUGGAUGGUCAUCUUUAUGUGCAGCUGCGCAAAACUGGAGCAGGCAGACACCAGCAUGGUACUGCUUAAACUAUUAAGGGCAUGUCAUUGGUGGUACACUUUACAGUUAUCAAAUACUGAGGCUAGAUCAUGAAGGAACUAGAGGAUGAAUGGACAUUACCCCUGGAUGCUGGUCUUGAACACAGAUGCCGUAACCAUAAUCCUUCAGGUGAAGCUGUUUUCAUCUUGGCCCCAGGAGCUUGUCCUCAUUUUCUGAGGCGACAGAAGAGGAACUGAGAACCCAAAUUCUUUGUGCAAUGCAGGCUCUCUGGGUGUCAAAUACCCAUAAAACCAUUGCAUCCCGGCCUCAAGGUGGUGGUAUUUGCCUCCCACUCUCAAAGGAACAUCUGGAAGCCUGAAUGGAGAAGGAGGGCUGAUCAGCCAUCAGCUCAGCUGGGGCAGUGUUCCCUGACCUGUCAGCUCUUCCCCUUCAGACCUCAGAGGAUAGAGAGGGUCAGCUGGCAACCUCCACUGAGCCUGUGAACCAGUCCCAGGAGCUUCUCCAGCAGGUGUUUGUCCUUAGGCGGAGAUGUUUCCUGGAUGCCUCACUCCUUUGCCUCUCAAGGAUAAAUGCCCCGAUGACAGAAACCCCCAGCCCCUGCCCAGUGACAGGAAGUGCUGACUUCAACACUGGGUCCUGCCAUUUACCAGAGAGCCCUUGAAGAAAAAAUCAAGAGGAGAAAGGCCCAAAAGAAAGAAAACACGGUGGGCCAGAAAAAUUUCAUCAGGCAGAUUGCUUCAAGAUGAAGACCAACCAGAGAAAAUAUUCCCAGGAGUUAAAAUACGCAGCACGUUUUAGAUACCAAUGACGGCGAUUUGCUUUCUCUUCAUUUCUGUCUUCACAUUGCUGACAACUCCCCUCAUUGUCUUAAAUAUGGAUUGCCAAAGUCAAUUAAAUACGCAAGAGGAACAUUGUACAUUUUGGAGGAAAGUAAUUAUUGUUACACCUUAGAGCAGCUUAAUGAAUACAUUAAUAAACGAUCCUUCGCCAUGUUUUUCUUUUCAUAGCCAUCAAAAUCUUUAUAAAACCUACAGCACAAUACAUAACAUCUCGUUACAAGAUUUGCUUUUAAAAAAAUCAAUGCAUACCUAA